GACGAACGCUGGCGGCGUGCUUAACACAUGCAAGUCGAACGGAAAGGCCCUGCUUUUGUGGGGUGCUCGAGUGGCGAACGGGUGAGUAACACGUGAGUAACCUGCCCUUGACUUUGGGAUAACUUCAGGAAACUGGGGCUAAUACCGGAUAGGAGCUCCUGCUGCAUGGUGGGGGUUGGAAAGUUUCGGCGGUUGGGGAUGGACUCGCGGCUUAUCAGCUUGUUGGUGGGGUAGUGGCUUACCAAGGCUUUGACGGGUAGACGGCCUGAGAGGGUGACCGGCCACAUUGGGACUGAGAUACGGACCAGACUCCUACGGGAGGCAGCAGUGGGGAAUAUUGCACAAUGGGCGGAAGCCUGAUGCAGCAACGCCGCGUGCGGGAUGACGGCCUUCGGGUUGUAAACCGCUUUCGCCUGUGACGAAGCGUGAGUGACGGUAAUGGGUAAAGAAGCACCGGCUAACUACGUG
Molecule: ribosomal RNA, 468 nt
Filed under: uncultured bacterium
Lineage: Bacteria
Description: partial 16S ribosomal RNA
Rfam family: Bacterial small subunit ribosomal RNA
Source: RNAcentral